This 134-nucleotide small RNA is filed under the name Salmonella enterica subsp. enterica. RNAcentral's name for it is "RtT sRNA". It matches the Rfam family "RtT RNA". From Rfam's summary of the family: This family represents a bacterial cis-regulatory element known as RtT RNA. The exact function of RtT is unknown although it is thought that it may be involved in changing the cellular response in relation to amino acid starvation. Lineage: Bacteria; Pseudomonadati; Pseudomonadota; Gammaproteobacteria; Enterobacterales; Enterobacteriaceae. The record is from RNAcentral. RNAcentral also lists the same sequence under 1 other name.
UGUAUCGGAAGCCUGACGAGGAUGAGAACCUCCGGGGGCAAGAGGUUCGACCCGAGCGAAGCGAGAGAACGUUGCGUCAGCAACGGCCCGCAGGGCGAGCCACGCAGUGGCGAGUCAUCCUCUAUCACCGACAG